CCUACGGGUGGCAGCAGUGAGGAAUAUUGGUCAAUGGACGCAAGUCUGAACCAGCCAUGCCGCGUGCAGGAAGACGGCUCUAUGAGUUGUAAACUUCUUUUGUACGAGGAUAAACCCAGACACGCGUGCCUUUCUGAAAGUAUUUUACGAAUAAGGAUCGGCUAACUCCGUGCCAGCAGCCGCGGUAAUACGGAGGAUUCAAGCGUUAUCCGGAUUUAUUGGGUUUAAAGGGUGCGUAGGGGGGCGGUUAAGUCAGAGGUGAAAGUCUGCGGCUCAACUUCGGAAUUGCAUUUGAUACGGGUCGUCUUGAGAUGAGUUGAGGUAGGCGGAAUGUGUGGUGUAGCGGUGAAAUGCUUAGAGAUCACGCAGAACACCGAUUGCGAAGGCAGCUUACCAAGCUACUUCUGACGUUGAGGCACGAAAGCGUGGGUAGCAAACAGGAUUAGAUACCCUGGUAGUC
Molecule: ribosomal RNA, 460 nt
Filed under: uncultured bacterium
Lineage: Bacteria
Description: partial 16S ribosomal RNA
Rfam family: Bacterial small subunit ribosomal RNA
Source: RNAcentral